RNAcentral lists this long non-coding RNA (2640 nucleotides) under Daphnia magna. RNAcentral's name for it is "uncharacterized LOC116936155, transcript variant X1". The record is from RNAcentral. Lineage: Eukaryota; Metazoa; Arthropoda; Branchiopoda; Diplostraca; Daphniidae.
ACCGUUGGCCCGCCCUUUUCCCCCUCCUUAUGCAAUUAAAAUCGAAAUAUCUCCUUAAGUUAUACGUUUUUUAAAGAAAAACUUAUGUAGUUAGAAUAACAUUUAAAGCUGUAUUUAAUGAUAUAUAUUUUUGUUUUUUCGUGAAAAGAGCCCACCCGACAAGCUUUAACACGGAGAGAUAGGGAAAGAGUCCCGUCCUUUAGUUAAAGUAGUCCAUGCUCUGGCCUAGGUGGCUAUUGUUGAUGUACAUACUUGCAGACUGUAAAUGUAUUGUAUUAUAUUUUUUCAAUAGAUGUUUUUCACUCCUUUAUCGGUUGAGUAGGGUUGGGACCGAAGCGGCUGUUGCGCUUUGGUAGAACACCGCUAGGGCGUCAACCCUGACGCACGGCAACGUCCUUGACGCGUCGUAUGCCCAAUCCACAAGUCUUUUCUUCUUCUUCUUCUUCUGUGUAUAUUUUGGUGCCUCCCGUGUGGCGUUGCCAGUCCAGGAGCGGGUUGUCCUGAGAGACCAAGUUUUGGCACCAGCGAAUUUGCUAGUAUAAUAGUCUACGUAGUUACGUUUUCUUUUUUUUUUACAAUCGUUUGAACAGACCGGUGUCCCAGAUGAAUUUUAGCAUCAAGUCUCGUAUUUUGAACUUGAUCUUCGAUUCACAGUCUUGAGGUGGAUUUAAUAAGGUAGGCAUGUUAAGCUGAAGGUUUUGCUCAGUAAAGAAUUUCGCCAAUCAGGGCUGCCACUUCUAGGGAUAUUUCCCUUUUUAGGGGGAUUUUGGUCCUUUUUUUGUAAUCUAGGGGGGAAGAUUCUGAAAUCUAGGGUCUAGGGUCUGUCCAGGUUGAUUAAAAAAAUAUAAGGGAUUUAAAAUUUUUUUCGCCUUAGUUUAUUGGUCGUUAAGGAUUUUAUGGUUAGUGGGUGAUAAAUAUGGCACCACUGGUGCCAAAUUGCUAUUCCCGCCUUUAAAAAAAAGACAUGUUAUGAGAGCCACCAAGUGGUCAAUCGCGGUAAAAAAAUACAUCUAAAUUGUGAAUUGGGGUACUACAGCAACUACAGCUACUACUAGCCUACUACUACAGCAACAGCCAAGAGCCCAAGACCCAAGAGGCAACAGGCGUAAACAUUCACUUACGAGUUAUGACGAUUGGCGAUUUUAGACGAAGCGUGAAUGACGUCAGAAUCAAUUUGUGAAUCUAGAAAGUUAAAAUUAAAAAACAAAUGGGUUUUGUGUCCCUAGACUGGCAACGUUCCAGGGUUCCCCCUUCUCAAAAAGUGGCAGCCCUGUCGCCAAUGUUUCUCUGUGAGAAGCGUAGUGCGUGCAUUCGAUGAGGACAUAUAGCGGUGUUUCAGGGUUGGAGCAGCCACAGGAGCAAAGCGGUGAGACUGUGUAGUCGAAUUUUGAAACGCGAUCGUUUAGGUGUAGACUGUUUGAACGAAUCUUGUGGAGUAUGCUUUUCUUUUGUCGGCAGGGAUGAAUUAACCAUGGGUCAGGCGUCAAAGAUCUUCUCGGGUGGGAGGAAAAAAAACAUGGUGGCUUUCUAGAGAAUCAACCCUGGCAGCAUUCGCCAGCCAGUCUACUACGUCGUUCUCGGGAAUUCCAAUGUGACUUGGAACCCAGAAUAGGGUGAUUUUUGUCCCGGCUGAAAGGGUGUGCAGAGCUUUGUUUCGGAUGCUGAUUGUGAGCUUGUUCGUGGAGCGUGGGCUAUUUAUUGCUUGGAUGGCGCUAAGUGAGUCCGAAAAUAUGCGAAUCUCUGCCGUGGACUCAUUUUCCGUGAGUUCAGUUGCUUUUUUUAUGGCCAUCAGCAAGUCUUUUCUUUUUUCAUGGAAAGCAGACUGCCUUCUACUAUGUCAAUUGAAUUAUCUCGACAUUCGAAAGCAACUCAAGCCUUGAUUAGUUAAAAACGUGUUUUUGUGAGUCAAUAGUGUAUAUUGUGAGGAAUUGUGGAAAAAAUGACUAUGCUUCACGAUCAAAUGCUUGAAUAUUUCUUCUUUGUUGGUUGGUGGAAUGAAACCUGCAAGAAAUGGACUAUAUUUCCACAAGUUUUCUGGGAUGAUAUAUGGGCAGUCACACUGAACUAGUUUGAGUUUUUCUAUAUAUCUCGCCUUUUCCAAAACGCAAAGGCUGAUCAAAUGGGACGAUAGUUUGAAAUGUUCAGUCAUUUUUUCCACAAUUCUAGAUAUCUCGCCUUUUCCAAAACGCAAAGGCUGAUCAAAUGGGACGAUAGUUUGAAAUGUUCAGUCAUUUUUUCCACAAUUCUUCACAAUAUAAACUAUUUACUCACAAACAACACGUUUUUAACUAAUCAAGACAUGAGUCUCUUUCGAAUUUCGAGGUAAUUCAAUUGAGACAGCAGACGGCAGUCUGCUUUCCAUGAAAAAAGAUGAAGACUCAACACAGUCUUCAUCUGUCCACGGAAACAGAUCCGUUUAGAUUGUCGGUCAAAAACGGAUCCUCCGAGUGGUGGGGAACGGAAUUGUUUUCGAUCACUCUGCGUACGGCUUAUUCCGAUUCGUUUCCGUUCAACGUAGUCUCCGUGGCGGGCGUUUAUUGUUUUUGUUUUUUUCUUUUGAUUUGGUUUUAAAGUUAGUUGUAUUUGUGUUUGUAUUUUUAAAAUCUAUAUAUAUGUUUAAAAAGAAUAAACUUUUUUAGU